RNAcentral lists this ribosomal RNA (510 nucleotides) under uncultured bacterium. RNAcentral's name for it is "partial 16S ribosomal RNA". It matches the Rfam family "Bacterial small subunit ribosomal RNA", at positions 28 to 507 of the family's 1533-position model. The record is from RNAcentral.
GACGAACGCUGGCGGCGUGCUUAACACAUGCCAGUCGAACGAAGAGCGAUGGAAGCUUGCUUCUAUCAAUCUUAGUGGCGAACGGGUGAGUAACGCGUAAUCAACCUGCCCUUCAGAGGGGGACAACAGUUGGAAACGACUGCUAAUACCGCAUACGAUCUAAACUCGGCAUCGAGGAUAGAUGAAAGGUGGCCUCUACAUGUAAGCUAUCACUGAAGGAGGGGAUUGCGUCUGAUUAGCUAGUUGGAGGGGUAACGGCCCACCAAGGCGAUGAUCAGUAGCCGGUCUGAGAGGAUGAACGGCCACAUUGGGACUGAGACACGGCCCAGACUCCUACGGGAGGCAGCAGUGGGGAAUCUUCCGCAAUGGACGAAAGUCUGACGGAGCAACGCCGCGGGAGGGAUGACGGCCUUCGGGUUGGAAAGCUCUGUUAAUCGGGACGAAAGGCCUUCUUGCGAAUAGUGAGAAGGAUUGACGGUACCGGAAUAGAAAGCCACGGCUAACUACGUG